This 1419-nucleotide ribosomal RNA is filed under the name Triticum aestivum (bread wheat). RNAcentral's name for it is "partial small subunit ribosomal RNA". The record is from RNAcentral. Lineage: Eukaryota; Viridiplantae; Streptophyta; Magnoliopsida; Poales; Poaceae.
AUGUCUUCGUGCGAGGACAAGGACUCUGCCGCCGCCCGGGCCGCGGCGACCACGGACGUGGAGCUGAUGAAGCGGUUUUGGCUCAGCGAGAAAGCCGCGCCGGAGAUCCUCCACUUCAAACCCACCUCGUCUCCCGAGGAGACGUUCGAUGACUUCACGGAUAACGGCAUCGACAAUCUGGUGGUCUCGCUGUACCAGAUGGAGCUCGACCGCAUGCUCUUCUUGCUCUGCUUCUACCUACGCCUCCUCCUGCAAAAGGUCAGACUGAAUUCUGCAAAAGUUGGAGGCUGCAAGGAGAUCCUGGAGAAGCAUCUCGAGCAGCCGGUGAUGUCGAAGCUUCCCUACAGUUAUGAUUCGGUGGACGUACAGGGUCACGUCCGCGCUGGUGUACACGGCGCUGGAGUGGAUCCUCAUCACGCUGCUGCACAUCACAUGCUCCUCUUCCACUCCAUUGCCCGCUGGAGUGGAUCCUCAGGCCACCUUGCCUCCUCUGCUCCCGCGGAGAACGGCCAGCAGGCGGCAACACGCGGUCGCUGCGUGAACUCUGUGCCGAAGAUCUCCGGGCUGGGCUACUGCCUCCACCACCGCCGGCUCGUCGCCUCCGCCGCCGACAUGUGCGAGGGAUGCCUGAUGACGAAGGAUGCAGAGGAGAAGGGCACCGUGGUGUUUUCUUGCUGCAGAGCUCUCAUACAGAUUUCUUCUUCACACAAGCUGGAGGACACACAUACUACAAGGGAAGAAGAUCCUUCUGUACAAGGGAAGACAGCCGAAGAAGAAGAAAAUCAAGGCUAUGUUCUGCUGGAUCAAGAAGACCAUGAAGAGGAAGAACACGAGCAGGCACAGGGCGAAGAGAUCACACCCGACAACGAUCGAUUGGUGCCGGUGCUGGUGCCCACACUUGAUGAAAUGACAAUUGCUAAUGAUUUUGGUCUGCAUCCGGAGACCGGCGAGCAGUAUGAACAAAAUAAUAAUCGCGAAACGCGGAAGCAGACAUCUAGGAGUAUAUCCUCAUUUCUUAGCCCGAGGUCUAGCUGGCACAAUGAUGAUAUGUCUUGUGUACAUGAUCAUGGUGAUUUCUUGGCUCUAUUAUCAGAUGAAAUCACGUGGCCUCAGGCAUGUAUAGCCGAUGCAUGUAUGUGCAUAUUUCUAACGGAAUGGUGCAGGUGUUUUUCCCUCGGCUUCUUGUACCCCAACCUCUCGGACCCCUUGAACGGGGAGGCCGCUUCGCUGAUGAUGCGCGACAAGAAAUCAUAUGACCAAAAAGUCCAAGGACCGCAGCGUCAGCUACCCAGGUAUAAGCGCGUGGUUGCGUGCCGACCGUCGACUGGGACGCACAUGAGGCUACCAUUCUUCUACCGGUACGCAGCAGCCAAGUGCCACCGCCGAGCCCUUGAUUUGCAUCCUCCCGGGGCACCAUAA